UUAACUGCUUGUGUUUAAAUUUUUUUCGUAGAUUAUACCUUAGUUCAAGUGGCUGGUACAACCGAGCAUGCUUUCAUUGAAACAACAAAAGAUAAUGUUUGUGUCAAAGUCUUUCCAAAUUGGAAGGAUGCAGAUAAAAGAUCAUCAACAGAGGAAUGUAUACAAAUAUCUAGCAAUAAAAGGGUGUUAGUAUCAGCUUUAUUAUCAGUUGGGGCUGUAUUCUGCUUUUUAGCUAUAUUUGGAUGUUGUAUGAUAGUGAGGAAAGUUAGAAGGACAAUAAAGACAAUAAAACGCCCAUUCAUAAUAGAAACACCACAUAUAAACAAUAAUUCAAAUCAAAAUACUGAGAGCUUAACUCAAAGAUACCGUAACCUUCCAUCUUCAACCGGAGAUUUUUGUCUGCUGUUGAAUAGAGAUUCAAGAAUUCAUUUACCAUCUGGGGAGUCUUCAUCUAGCGCACGUGGGGAUUCUGGUAUGGCGUCAUCAAGAGGAAAUUCCAAUCUGCUUCAAAACGCCGAUUCUGCGUUACCACUUUUGAAUACCUGACAGCGGAAUUAUGGAUUUCCUUUGUACUUAUUUCGCUGGACGGAAUGAUAUCCAAUGAUCCACGCAAUCUUCUUUGAUUGGAUCCUAUGCAGAAUUCGUUAUCAUCUGAGAGAUAUGGAAAUUGAAUGAUUUUCCAACAUUUCCUUAAAGAAUGUGUAAAGGUUCUCAAAGACGGACAACCGAUUACAAUAAACCGAAGGGUGUCUUUGGGAAAUGGCUGGUAGAAUUUAGAACCGAACAAGGUCACAAUGAACAAUGAAAAAUCAGAGCAACAAGGAAUAAGAGGCUGAUUCUUUAAUUUACAGUCGGCAUGAUUGAAAUUGAUUUACAUUUUGACUACUUUAAUGUCACUAUGCAUUUGUAUUUUUCCUGAUCUACUGUCAAAAUAUUGUGAGUCAAUACGGUGUAAUUAGUGUAAGACCUGUAAGCAUAUGCACAUUUAUCCUUUGCAAUAUUUACACUUACUUACAUGUAACUUUAAUUGCAGACAAUCAGUAUGGUAAUUUCCAACCAGCAUUGUACACACUGUUAAUUGACAAAUCAAGGAGAUAACCCCCAUCAUAAAUUCAACGAUUGUGAAUUCAUUUCCCUUUAAAGGUAUUUACCAAUGGCAAAUGAAAUACUUUUUAUUGAAACAAUGUAGAAACAUCGACUGAGAUUGAUAUAUUCAUCUAAAUUAUACCCUGAAGAACCUAAAGAAAACAUCCAACUGUCAAAUCUGAUACAUAACGGAUUAUCUAACGACGAUUCAGCACAAGAAUUAAAAAUAUAACUGUAUUGUGUUAUUUGAAAGAGAGAUAUUUUUUUUAAAGAUUAAGGUCGGGUUUCAACACAAGUGUUUCACACUCGAUAUUUUCUUUAUUUGUAUAUAGAAAUUUUGUUGUAAAGUAUUUGAAUUGAACAAUUUAUUUCACCUCCGUGUUCAUUAAAAAAAAGUUCAUUGACAAAUAUAUGCUCGUACUCAAUGUUUCACAUUUUA
Mytilus trossulus (common blue mussel) is the source of this 1525-nucleotide long non-coding RNA. RefSeq lists it as uncharacterized. NCBI's taxonomy places the organism in Eukaryota, Metazoa, Mollusca, Bivalvia, Mytilida, Mytilidae. The transcript is spliced from 4 exons. The record is from RefSeq and is a predicted model, not a curated record.